CGUUAGCUCAAAUCCCCGAAAAAAGUACUUGGAAGAUACUCAUUGAAUACUCAUUCUUAGUGGAGUUAAAUCGAGGAUUGUUGGGGGCACGACACAUUCAAUUCCAGAUUUCAUUCCGUUAAAAAUAUUUAGAUAAAUUUCUCGGGGAGAACGGUUGCUUAAAUAAAAAAAAAUCACAUCGGGACUCUUAAAAUUAACUGAAAUUACCUGUUGAGUACACCCUAAUGUACAUGCGCGCCUCUCUAUCCAAUCCGGUAUCUUUAGGUCGUACAUACACCAUUGUACGCUGGUAGCGUAUGAUACCUUCUUCCAUGAAGGCGUUUAUAGAAGGUGACGAAUGGACAGUAUUGUGCAAUAGAAAGUGUUGAAAUCACGUGCUGAAUUACAAUUCCUAAUUUACUACUCUAUUUGCAAGUAUUUAAACCUAAACUACUAUGAAAUUUUGCUACUUAUCUAAAUUCGCUUAAGGUAAUAGUUCUUAUAUAUGAAUUAAUGUGAAGUUAUACUAAAUUAUUGAAAUGCUAUAUACAGUGUCGCCUUAAACCUACAUAGUGCAUUACCAUAACCCUACAUCUAUUCGGAUUAAAAGCCUACAUGCAAAGGCUGAUCGAAAAAUAAGAACUCGCAUAAUCAGGAACAUUGAUCGCCGGCAGGUAUCGCACAACGGGACUAAACGUAAGUCAAAACGGACAAACAUAUAUUUCUCAAAGCACUAAAUGAACAUUAAAUAAUUAGAAUUGCAACAU
Long non-coding RNA from Aedes aegypti (yellow fever mosquito), 746 nucleotides. RefSeq lists it as uncharacterized. The transcript has 2 exons. NCBI's taxonomy places the organism in Eukaryota, Metazoa, Arthropoda, Insecta, Diptera, Culicidae. The record is from RefSeq and is a predicted model, not a curated record.